CCUACGGGUGGCAGCAGUGAGGAAUAUUGGUCAAUGGGCUUACGCCUGAACCAGCCAAGUCGCGUGAGGGAAGAAGGCUUUCGGGUUGUAAACUUCUUUUAAGAGGGAAGAGAAGAAGACGGUACCUCUUGAAUAAGCCACGGCUAACUACGUGCCAGCAGCCGCGGUAAUACGUAGGUGGCAAGCGUUGUCCGGAUUUACUGGGUGUAAAGGGCGUGCAGCCGGGCUGACAAGUCAGAUGUGAAAUCCCGCGGCUCAACCGCGGAACUGCAUUUGAAACUGUCAGUCUUGAGUACCGGAGAGGUCAUCGGAAUUCCUUGUGUAGCGGUGAAAUGCGUAGAUAUAAGGAAGAACACCAGUGGCGAAGGCGGAUGACUGGACGGCAACUGACGGUGAGGCGCGAAAGCGUGGGGAGCAAACAGGAUUAGAUACCCAUGUAGUC
RNAcentral lists this ribosomal RNA (442 nucleotides) under uncultured bacterium. RNAcentral describes it as "partial 16S ribosomal RNA". It matches the Rfam family "Bacterial small subunit ribosomal RNA", at positions 338 to 795 of the family's 1533-position model. The record is from RNAcentral.